This 521-nucleotide ribosomal RNA is filed under the name uncultured Leptothrix sp. RNAcentral describes it as "bacterial SSU rRNA". It matches the Rfam family "Bacterial small subunit ribosomal RNA", at positions 60 to 584 of the family's 1533-position model. The record is from RNAcentral. Lineage: Bacteria; Pseudomonadati; Pseudomonadota; Betaproteobacteria; Burkholderiales; Sphaerotilaceae.
AGUCGACGGUAACAGGUUAAGCUGACGAGUGGCGAACGGGUGAGUAAUAUAUCGGAACGUGCCCAGUAGUGGGGGAUAGCCCGGCGAAAGCCGGAUUAAUACCGCAUACGACCUACGGGUGAAAGCAGGGGAUCGCAGGACCUUGCGCUAUUGGAGCGGCCGAUAUCAGAUUAGCUAGUUGGUGGGGUAAAAGCUCACCAAGGCGACGAUCUGUAGCUGGUCUGAUAGGACGACCAGCCACACUGGGACUGAGACACGGCCCAAACUCCUACGGGAGGCAGCAGUGGGGAAUUUUGGACAAUGGACGCAAGUCUGAUCCASCCAUGCCGCGUGCGGGAAGAAGGCCUUCGGGUUGUAAACCGCUUUUGUCAGGGAAGAAAAGUCUGGGGCUAAUAUCCUCGGACGAUGACUGUACCUGAACAAUAAGCACCGGCUAACUACGUGCCAGCAGCCGCGGUAAUACGUAUGGUGCAAGCGUUAAUCGGAAUUACUGGGCGUAAAGCGUGCGCACGCGGUUCUAU